This 73-nucleotide transfer RNA is filed under the name Ixodes scapularis (black-legged tick). RNAcentral describes it as "tRNA-Ser". Lineage: Eukaryota; Metazoa; Arthropoda; Arachnida; Ixodida; Ixodidae. The record is from RNAcentral.
CCCGGACGGUUUAAUCGGUUAAAGGCGCCGCCCCGGAUAGGCGAAGGUUGCGGGUUCGAUUCCCGCUCCUGGA